GAUCCUGGCUCAGGAUGAACGCUAGCUACAGGCUUAACACAUGCAAGUCGAGGGGAAACGAUAUUGGAAGCUUGCUUCCGAUAGGCGUCGACCGGCGCACGGGUGAGUAACGCGUAUCCAACCUGCCCACCACUUGGGGAUAACCUUGCGAAAGUAAGACUAAUACCCAAUGAUAUCUCUAGAAGACAUCUGAAAGAGAUUAAAGAUUCAUCGGUGAUAGAUGGGGAUGCGUCUGAUUAGCUUGUUGGCGGGUAACGGCCCACCAAGGCAACGAUCAGUAGGGGUUCUGAGAGGAAGGUCCCCCACAUUGGAACUGAGACACGGUCCAAACUCCUACGGGAGGCAGCAGUGAGGAAUAUUGGUCAAUGGGCGAGAGCCUGAACCAGCCAAGUAGCGUGCAGGAAGACGGCCCUAUGGGUUGUAAACUGCUUUUAUAGGGGAAUAAAGUGAGCCACGUGUGGUUUUUUGCAUGUACCCUAUGAAUAAGGACCGGCUAAUUCCGUG
This 504-nucleotide ribosomal RNA is filed under the name uncultured bacterium. RNAcentral describes it as "bacterial SSU rRNA". It matches the Rfam family "Bacterial small subunit ribosomal RNA", at positions 15 to 507 of the family's 1533-position model. The record is from RNAcentral.